CCCAGUCAAACACCUAAUACCUUGCACCAUGUUGAACACUACCCGAGACACUACCAAGUAUGCCAGUUGCACACUUUUGUUUUCAGAAAGAACCUGGAUCCUUAACAGUAGAUUUUUCAAAUCCCAAACGUAUAACGGAACCCACACAACGCUAAAGUAAUCUAAUGUGAAAAUAACAAGUAAAUGCACCAAAUUUUAGUCUAGCAUUAUAAAGUUCUCACCUAUACUUCUCGUGUUCAUAUAUGUUAAUGUAAUCAACAAUUUCAACUGUGAGUAGUACCUUAGGUCUUAACAUAAGUACACUUAGCAGUGGAAAGUAUAGCUAUACUGUAAAAAUAGUAACACACUGACAGCGCAGAAUUACUCGUCCCGAUAUAUCUGUUUAGAAUGUUAUUCCAGCGUAUUAACUGUGUAAUUUAGAAUACACUUUUACUCAGUAGUCAAACAACGGAUGGAUACUUGUUUGUAUAAUGUAUUUUAACUAAACUCGCAAGUGCAAAUUGGAACUUUAGUAUGUAACAACAUAAAAAGUGCAGUCUGACUGCAGACUAACUGUUUACAAAAGCCCAAUACUGCAGUCGUGAAUAAACUACAGAAAUUACCGACUUUUUUCUACAGUUUAAA
This is a long non-coding RNA of Frankliniella occidentalis (western flower thrips), 624 nucleotides long. RefSeq lists it as uncharacterized. The record is from RefSeq and is a predicted model, not a curated record. NCBI's taxonomy places the organism in Eukaryota, Metazoa, Arthropoda, Insecta, Thysanoptera, Thripidae. The transcript has 2 exons.